This 250-nucleotide ribosomal RNA is filed under the name uncultured bacterium. Its description in RNAcentral is "partial 16S ribosomal RNA". It matches the Rfam family "Bacterial small subunit ribosomal RNA", at positions 959 to 1208 of the family's 1533-position model. The record is from RNAcentral.
ACGCGCUGAACCUUACCAACCCUUGACAUCCCCUGACCGCCGGAGAGAUCCGGCUUUCCCGUAAGGGACAGGGAGACAGGUGCUGCAUGGCUGUCGUCAGCUCGUGUCGUGAGAUGUUCGGUUAAGUCCGGCAACGAGCGCAACCCCACGUCCCCCAGUUGCCAGCAUUCAGUUGGGCACUCUGUGGAAACUGCCGAUGAUAAGUCGGAGGAAGGUGUGGAUGACGUCAAGUCCUCAUGGCCCUUACGGG